GGGUUGUGAGGUUAAGCGACUAAGCGUACACGGUGGAUGCCCUGGCAGUCAGAGGCGAUGAAGGACGUGCUAAUCUGCGAUAAGCGCCGGUAAGGUGAUAUGAACCGUUAUAACCGGCGAUUUCCGAAUGGGGAAACCCAGUGUGACUCGUCACACUAUCAUUAACUGAAUCCAUAGGUUAAUGAGGCGAAC
Molecule: ribosomal RNA, 192 nt
Filed under: Salmonella enterica subsp. enterica serovar Gaminara
Lineage: Bacteria; Pseudomonadati; Pseudomonadota; Gammaproteobacteria; Enterobacterales; Enterobacteriaceae
Description: partial 23S ribosomal RNA
Rfam family: Bacterial large subunit ribosomal RNA
Source: RNAcentral